This 732-nucleotide ribosomal RNA is filed under the name uncultured Pseudomonadota bacterium. RNAcentral describes it as "bacterial SSU rRNA". It matches the Rfam family "Bacterial small subunit ribosomal RNA", at positions 28 to 750 of the family's 1533-position model. The record is from RNAcentral. Lineage: Bacteria; Pseudomonadati; Pseudomonadota.
AUUGAACGCUGGCGGCAGCCUAACACAUGCAAGUCGAACGGUAACAGGAAGAAGCUUGCUUCUUUGCUGACGAGUGGCGGACGGGUGAGUAAUGUCUGGGAAACUGCCUGAUGGAGGGGGAUAACUACUGGAAACGGUAGCUAAUACCGCAUAACGUCGCAAGACCAAAGAGGGGGACCUUCGGGCCUCUUGCCAUCGGAUGUGCCCAGAUGGGAUUAGCUAGUAGGUGGGGUAACGGCUCACCUAGGCGACGAUCCCUAGCUGGUCUGAGAGGAUGACCAGCCACACUGGAACUGAGACACGGUCCAGACUCCUACGGGAGGCAGCAGUGGGGAAUAUUGCACAAUGGGCGCAAGCCUGAUGCAGCCAUGCCGCGUGUAUGAAGAAGGCCUUCGGGUUGUAAAGUACUUUCAGCGGGGAGGAAGGGAGUAAAGUUAAUACCUUUGCUCAUUGACGUUACCCGCAGAAGAAGCACCGGCUAACUCCGUGCCAGCAGCCGCGGUAAUACGGAGGGUGCAAGCGUUAAUCGGAAUUACUGGGCGUAAAGCGCACGCAGGCGGUUUGUUAAGUCAGAUGUGAAAUCCCCGGGCUCAACCUGGGAACUGCAUCUGAUACUGGCAAGCUUGAGUCUCGUAGAGGGGGGUAGAAUUCCAGGUGUAGCGGUGAAAUGCGUAGAGAUCUGGAGGAAUACCGGUGGCGAAGGCGGNCCCCUGGACGAAGACUGACGCUCAG